RNAcentral lists this unclassified non-coding RNA (247 nucleotides) under uncultured fungus. RNAcentral describes it as "partial contains 5.8S ribosomal RNA, internal transcribed spacer 2, and large subunit ribosomal RNA". The record is from RNAcentral. Lineage: Eukaryota; Fungi. RNAcentral also lists the same sequence under 1 other name.
AACGCACAUUGCGCCCCUUGGUACUCCAUGGGGCAUGCCUGUUCGAGCGUCAUUUACACCCUCAAGCUCAGCUUGGUGUUGGGCGUCUGUCCCGCUUCGUGCGCGGACUCGCCUCAAAUGCAUUGGCAGCGGUCUUGCCAGCUUCUCGCGCAGCACAUUGCGCUUCUAGAGGCUUUGGCGGAUCGGCGUCCAUCAAGUACACCCACAGUUUGACCUCGGAUCAGGUAGGGAUACCCGCUGAACUUAA